Molecule: ribosomal RNA, 402 nt
Filed under: uncultured Arcobacter sp.
Lineage: Bacteria; Pseudomonadati; Campylobacterota; Epsilonproteobacteria; Campylobacterales; Arcobacteraceae
Description: bacterial SSU rRNA
Rfam family: Bacterial small subunit ribosomal RNA
Source: RNAcentral
AGUGGGGAAUAUUGCACAAUGGGGGAAACCCUGAUGCAGCAACGCCGCGUGGAGGAUGACACAUUUCGGUGCGUAAACUCCUUUUAUAUAGGAAGAUAAUGACGGUACUAUAUGAAUAAGCGCCGGCUAACUCCGUGCCAGCAGCCGCGGUAAUACGGAGGGCGCAAGCGUUACUCGGAAUCACUGGGCGUAAAGAGCGUGUAGGCGGGUUAAUAAGUCAGAUGUGAAAGCCAAUGGCUCAACCAUUGAACUGCAUUUGAAACUGUUAACCUAGAAUAUGGGAGAGGUAGAUGGAAUUUCUGGUGUAGGGGUAAAAUCCGUAGAGAUCAGAAGGAAUACCGAUUGCGAAGGCGAUCUACUGGAACAUUAUUGACGCUGAGACGCGAAAGCGUGGGGAGCAAA